AGUGCUAAUACCGGAUAACAACAGAUGAUGCCUAUCAACUGUUUAAAAGAUGGUUCUGCUAUCACUCUUGGAUGGACCUGCGGUGCAUUAGCUAGUUGGUAGGGUAACGGCCUACCAAGGCGAUGAUGCAUAGCCGAGUUGAGAGACUGAUCGGCCACAUUGGGACUGAGACACGGCCCAAACUCCUACGGGAGGCAGCAGC
RNAcentral lists this ribosomal RNA (202 nucleotides) under uncultured Lactobacillus sp. RNAcentral describes it as "partial 16S ribosomal RNA". It matches the Rfam family "Bacterial small subunit ribosomal RNA", at positions 159 to 355 of the family's 1533-position model. Lineage: Bacteria; Bacillati; Bacillota; Bacilli; Lactobacillales; Lactobacillaceae. The record is from RNAcentral.